Molecule: ribosomal RNA, 282 nt
Filed under: Ledella ultima
Lineage: Eukaryota; Metazoa; Mollusca; Bivalvia; Nuculanida sp.; Nuculanidae
Description: partial small subunit ribosomal RNA
Source: RNAcentral
CCGUUCAAAGGUAGUGUAAUUUUAGCCCAUUGAUUGUGGGCCAAUGAAAGGAUUGACAAGUUUUAGUUGUCUCACUUGUGUUAGUUAUAAGUUAACUUUUAGGUGAAGAGGCCUAAAUUUUAUAGAGGGACGAGAAGACCCUGUCAAACUUUAAUUUUAAGUUUUGGCUUAUGGUGUGUUUAAAAUUAGAAAUUUAAGUUGGGGCAACUGGGAAGGAUAAAUACUUUUUAGGAAACAAAUGGUUUUUGUGGAAGUUUGAUCCAAAUAAUUUUGAAUAUAGAA